UGGGAACUGCGUUNUGAACUGGGUGACUAGAGUGUGUCAGAGGGAGGUAGAAUUCCACGUGUAGCAGUGAAAUGCGUAGAGAUGUGGAGGAAUACCGAUGGCGAAGGCAGCCUCCUGGGAUANCACUGACGUUCAUGCCCGAAAGCGUGGGUAGCAAACAGGAUUAGAUACCCUGGUAGUCCACGCCCUAAACGAUGUCGAUUAGCUGUUGGGCAGCAUGACUGCUUAGUAGCGAAGCUAACGCGUGAAAUCGACCGCCUGGGGAGUACGGUCGCAAGAUUAAAACUCAAAGGAAUUGACGGGGACCCGCACAAGCGGUGGAUGAUGUGGAUUAAUUCGAUGCAACGCGAAGAACCUUACCUGGUCUUGACAUGUGCGGAACCCUCCAGAGACGGAGGGGUGCCUUCGGGAGCCGUAACACAGGUGCUGCAUGGCUGUCGUCAGCUCGUGUCGUGAGAUGUUGGGUUAAGUCCCGCAACGAGCGCAACCCUUGUCAUUAGUUGCCAUCAUUAAGUUGGGCACUCUAAUGAGACUGCCGGUGACAAGCCGGAGGAAGGUGGGGAUGACGUCAAGUCCUCAUGGCCCUUAUGACCAGGGCUUCACACGUCAUACAAUGGUCGGUACAGAGGGUAGCCAGGCCGCGAGGUGGAGCCAAUCUCACAAAACCGAUCGUAGUCCGGAUUGCACUCUGCAACUCGAGUGCAUGAAGUCGGAAUCGCUAGUAAUCGCAGGUCAGCAUACUGCGGUGAAUACGUUCCCGGGUCUUGUACACACCGCCCGUCACACCAUGGGAGUGGGGGAUACCAGAAGUAGGUAGGGUAACCGCAAGGAGCCCGCUUACCACA
RNAcentral lists this ribosomal RNA (845 nucleotides) under uncultured bacterium. RNAcentral describes it as "bacterial SSU rRNA". It matches the Rfam family "Bacterial small subunit ribosomal RNA", at positions 615 to 1461 of the family's 1533-position model. The record is from RNAcentral.